RNAcentral lists this ribosomal RNA (274 nucleotides) under uncultured bacterium. RNAcentral describes it as "partial 16S ribosomal RNA". It matches the Rfam family "Bacterial small subunit ribosomal RNA", at positions 523 to 796 of the family's 1533-position model. The record is from RNAcentral.
AUACGGAGGGUGCAAGCGUUAAUCGGAAUUACUGGGCGUAAAGCGCGCGUAGGCGGUUUGGUAAGUCGGAUGUGAAAGCCCCGGGCUCAACCUGGGAAUUGCAUUCGAUACUGCCGAACUAGAGUAUGGUAGAGGGAAGUGGAAUUUCCGGUGUAGCGGUGAAAUGCGUAGAUAUCGGAAGGAACACCAGUGGCGAAGGCGACUUCCUGGGCCAAUACUGACGCUGAGGUGCGAAAGCGUGGGGAGCAAACAGGAUUAGAUACCCCAGUAGUCC